GUAGUCCACGCCCUAAACGAUGUCAACUAGGUGUUGGGGAAGGAGACUUCUUUAGUACCGCAGCUAACGCGCUAAGUUGACCGCCUGGGGAGUACGGUCGCAAGAUUAAAACUCAAAGGAAUUGACGGGGACCCGCACAAGCGGUGGAUUAUGUGGAUUAAUUCGAUGCAACGCGAAAAACCUUACCUACCCUUGACAUGUCCGGAAGAUCGCAGAGAUGUGAUUGUGCCCGAAAGGGAACCGGAACACAGGUGCUGCAUGGCUGUCGUCAGCUCGUGUCGUGAGAUGUUGGGUUAAGUCCCGCAACGAGCGCAACCCUUGUCAUUAAUUGCCAUCAUUCAGUUGGGCACUUUAAUGAGACUGCCGGUGAUAAACCGGA
Molecule: ribosomal RNA, 379 nt
Filed under: uncultured bacterium
Lineage: Bacteria
Description: bacterial SSU rRNA
Rfam family: Bacterial small subunit ribosomal RNA
Source: RNAcentral